This 252-nucleotide long non-coding RNA is filed under the name Gossypium barbadense (sea-island cotton). Its description in RNAcentral is "long non-coding RNA (GBAR_LNC010641)". The record is from RNAcentral. Lineage: Eukaryota; Viridiplantae; Streptophyta; Magnoliopsida; Malvales; Malvaceae.
UGAUGUGUCUUUCCCAUCUGUCUUCUCUUUAAAUCUCGCGUUUCAAUUACCGCCUUUCUCCUCUCUUUCACCAGCUAUUCUGCUUUACAUGCUCUCUCAACGAGCAUCACAAAUUCUCUUAACUCUAGAAUGCCUACAAACACUCAAAUGUCUUUAUUGAGGCCAUCCUCAAACCUCUUACACAUAGUAGCUGCAGUUGAUAUAUAUUCUUGCGCAUAUUUGCUGAGCUUUACAAACUCAAGCUCAUACUCC